UUACGGUCAAAUCACACUGAAACACCGGUUCUUGUUCGAUCACCGAAGUUAAGCAUCGUAGAGCCAGGUCAAAACUACUUUAGAUGGGGGGACGCUUGGGGAACACCUGGUACUGUAAG
Acanthosepion pharaonis is the source of this 119-nucleotide non-coding RNA. Lineage: Eukaryota; Metazoa; Mollusca; Cephalopoda; Sepiida; Sepiidae. The record is from the annotation of a GenBank genome assembly.